UUUUAUAGUUAUAUUAGUCGUUAGGCAUUUUAAGCUCUAGAAAUCAAGUAACAUGAUGUUGUACUUUGAGAGUUUUGUUUUUUUGUUGUUGAUCGAUCCCACUGAUUCUUGAAUCUAUUAGGGGCGUGCAAGAGGCCAGAGUCCUUCGAGUCAUCAUCAAGAAGAGAGGGGACCCUAUCUUGCCCGAAAAAGAAACAUUACAUCAUAUUAGAAGACAAAAAAAGCCGAAGUCCCAACAAAUUCCCCAAAAGUCUCAAGAAACCCAUCAACCAGCUGCCCCGACAGGCCACCCACUCAUUCAUUCACUAAUAUAUAAAGAAGCAGCUGCAGAAAGUGGAGAAAUCCACCAAGCAAUCAACAUUUAUUUCAAGAAAACCAUGCAUCAAAGUUCCUGUUGCUUGCCAACAGUAGUAGUGGAUCAUAUCAGAUCAGCUGCAACAUCCAAUCCAGUACCCAAAAAAAAAAAAAAAAAAAA
Non-coding RNA from Punica granatum (pomegranate), 475 nucleotides. The record is from RefSeq and is a predicted model, not a curated record. NCBI's taxonomy places the organism in Eukaryota, Viridiplantae, Streptophyta, Magnoliopsida, Myrtales, Lythraceae.